This is an RNA transcript of Planococcus citri (citrus mealybug), 1967 nucleotides long. It is a transcript of the gene named vesicular glutamate transporter 3-like, with no coding region annotated. The record is from RefSeq and is a predicted model, not a curated record. Lineage: Eukaryota; Metazoa; Arthropoda; Insecta; Hemiptera; Pseudococcidae. The transcript has 11 exons.
UAGUACGUACAAAUAAAACCUAUAGAUAAGAAUUCUACAUACUUGAAAGAGGCAAAUUGGGAAAAAAAAUUCAGAUUAACAGUUCAAUGUUAAAACGAUUGGUGAGCGCCCGAGCGCAGCUACUCGUACCUACUCAAUAAGUACAUCACAUUUUGAUACAAGUAAUUUCAAGACACCAUAUGAAGCAGCUACAUCAAGAAUGCCACCAAAACAUAGCAAUGCUACAGCAGGAGAGUUUAUUAAAAACGCCGCCGACAGCAAAGCCACCUUCGCUAUGGUUUUCAAAACGAUUUCUGGUUGUUAUUUUCAUGUUCCUAUGUUAUAUGAAUACAGCUUUUAUACGGUUCAAUAUCAGUAUUGCGGUAGUUGAGAUGACUUCCAGCAAGGAAAUUGAAGAUGGUAAUUCAACUUCAACUCGACCUCCAGAAUUCAAUUGGGAUUCAAAAACUGUCGGAUCCGUUUUCAGUAUGUUCUACUAUGGUGGAUUGGUAUCAUUCAUGGGUGGAUACGUAGUGUCCAAACUAGGAGGAGCAACAAGCUGUGCGUUAUGCCUGAUGUUAUCUGGAAUUACAACCGUACUUCAUCCGAUCACCUCAAGCCACAAUUUCUAUGCAUUCUUGAUUAUUCGUUUUCUUACAGGCGUCUUUGAGAAUUUCCUUACCAUCAGUGUGUCCGAUGUAUCAUCGAAAUGGAUAGUAAAAAAUGAAAGAUCAAAGCUAACGUCGUUCAGUAUAAGUGGACUUCGAGUAGGCAUGGCUAUCGUACACGGAUUUUGCGGAUAUUUGGCCCAUGGAUGGGGCUGGCCAAUGAUAUUUUACGUCACAGGUGCCUGUUCUUUGAUAACAUCAGUAUUGUGCUUCAUUUUUAUGAAGAAUCAACCUUCGGAAGAUGAAUGGAUUUCUAAAGCUGAGCUAAAGUACUUUGAAUCUCAACAAGAAGAUAUCUCAACUAGUUCGAAAAAAAAUGUUAAACAUCCGUACAGGAGUAUGCUGUUAUCACCAGCAAUUUGGGCCUUGUUUGUUGUUAGGUUCUCGCACGUGUGGGUGGUAACCAUCUUGAUUACCUUUCUUCCGUUGUAUUACAAAGACACAACUGUGGAAAGUAUUGAAAAAAUAGGAUUAUUUUCUUCGGUUCCCAACGCAGCCAGUAGUUUCAUCAUACCCAUUUGUGGGAUAUUACUCGACUACAGCAGAAAAGUCAAUAUCCCAGUAACAUUGAUGCACAAAAUGGUAAUCGGUGGUUCAUUUGCUAUCUGCAGCGCUCUGUUCUUGAGCAGUGUGUUCGUUUCCAAUUUCAUUGUGUCGAUGGUUGCUUUCAGUCUGAUACAGAUGUUUUCAGGCAUCAUUAUUCUGAUCACGCAAAUAAUCAUCAUCAGUGUAGCCCCAAACAGUAGCGGAGCUGUUGCUGGACUAGUUACUUUCGUUGCUUCGGUGAGAAAUAUUUUAGCACGAGAAACGACAGGAUACAUGACGACCAAUCGAAGUAUGGAAGAAUGGAAUAACUGUUUCAUUUUGUCAAGUGUGAUACUGAUGCUAAGUGCUGUGAUAUUUGCUUUUUACGGAUCGAGCGAAGCUCAAUCGUGGUCAAAGUCGCCAAAUCCAGAUGAUCUCGCUCACGAAAAUCAGACCAAAAAAAUCACUUCGUAGAACAUAAUUCAUCAUAUUUUUACCGAUUGUCCCAUCUUUAAACAUGAGACCAAUUCAACAUACAAGCAAUCAGAGCAUGGCAGAAUGGAAUAAUUGCUUCAUCUUGUCGAGCGGUAUUGCAUUUCUGAAUGCUGUUGUAUUUUUAAGCUACCUACGGAUCCAGUGAAUCUCAAAGCUAGGCAACAUCACAGCCAGCGCCCAUUCAGCAAUAUGAUUCCGUUCAUUUGGAUGAAAAAAACAGCAAACUUUGACAAAUUUCAACAAAUACUGCAUACAUUUGGUUUUCAGAUCUGUCUUUCAAUACAUUACCUACUCACUUUU